CCUACGGGAGGCAGCAGUGGGGAAUUUUCCGCAAUGGGCGAAAGCCUGACGGAGCAAUACCGCGUGAGGGAAGACUGCCUAUGGGUUGUAAACCUCUUUUCUCAGGGAGGAAAUCAAUGACGUCACCUGAGGAAUAAGCAUCGGCUAACUCCGUGCCAGCAGCCGCGGUAAU
Molecule: ribosomal RNA, 172 nt
Filed under: uncultured bacterium
Lineage: Bacteria
Description: partial 16S ribosomal RNA
Rfam family: Bacterial small subunit ribosomal RNA
Source: RNAcentral